UACGGAAGGGGCAAGCGUUGUUCGGAAUCAUUGGGCGUAAAGGGCGCGUAGGUGGUUCUGUAUGUCUACCGUGAAAGCGUACGGCUCAACCGUAUUUUGUCGGUAGAAACUGCAGGACUUGAGGCCGGGAGGGGCUGGUGGAAUUCCCGGUGUAGCGGUGAAAUGCGCAGAUAUCGGGAGGAACACCUAUGGCGAAGGCAGCUCGCUGGGACGUUACUGACGCUGAGACGCGAAAGCGUGGGGAGCAAACAGG
RNAcentral lists this ribosomal RNA (253 nucleotides) under uncultured bacterium. RNAcentral describes it as "partial 16S ribosomal RNA". It matches the Rfam family "Bacterial small subunit ribosomal RNA", at positions 524 to 776 of the family's 1533-position model. The record is from RNAcentral.